UCACAUGAUUAAAGAAAAGACUUGGAGUU
This 29-nucleotide non-coding RNA is filed under the name Rattus norvegicus (Norway rat). The record is from RNAcentral. Lineage: Eukaryota; Metazoa; Chordata; Mammalia; Rodentia; Muridae.